UACGAAGGGGGCUAGCGUUGUUCGGAUUUACUGGGCGUAAAGCGCACGUAGGCUGAUCGUUAAGUCGGGGGUGAAAUCCUGGAGCUCAACUCCAGAACUGCCUUCGAUACUGGCGAUCUUGAGUCCGGAAGAGGUGAGUGGAGCUCCUAGUGUAGAGGUGGAAUUCGUAGAUAUUAGGAAGAACACCAGUGGCGAAGGCGGCUCACUGGUCCGGUACUGACGCUGAGGUGCGAAAGCGUGGGGAGCAAACAGG
This 253-nucleotide ribosomal RNA is filed under the name uncultured bacterium. RNAcentral describes it as "partial 16S ribosomal RNA". It matches the Rfam family "Bacterial small subunit ribosomal RNA", at positions 524 to 776 of the family's 1533-position model. The record is from RNAcentral.